AUCUGUUUCGUUUUCUUCUUCUUUUUUCGCAUGUUGAACACAAUGGUGGACAAGAUGAACCUUUCUCCAUCGAACAGAUCGUAGGUGCUCAGAUGGCUUCUCAUGCAUAUUAGCUAAGAAAUCCACAUCAACAAACUUCAGGUCUAGGUACCUGAUUCAUUUUGAAGUCAUAGAACACACCGGAAAUCCUGCGCAUUUGACCCAUGGUUGAAACAAAUCGGUCGCCCAGCAGUCGACAUGGUUUCCUGUCAAAGCCAAAGACUAAUGCAAGAACAAGACAAAUAUUUGGAUCGUGCAACUGCUGAUCGGCUUAUGACCGAUGGUGGUUGGUACUACUGAGUAUGCAGCAACUGCACAAAAAAAAUUAUUGUCGAGAAGGCUGACCAAUGAUGCACCAACUGCGAAGCAAAGAUCGAUGUAGUGUACCCACACCUAGCCGUUGUUAUAAUAGACUUUUCAUCUAUCUUUCAGGAGGCAUAGAGCAGUGUAAACAGUAUUCAGUCUACUAACGGUGCCAUAAGGAAUUCAACUCUUGGUUGGAUGCCGGUCACCAUUUUUGUCUCCUUUGUAGUAGGAUUUGUGUAGUUUUGUGUUCUUAUUUGUAAACGAACUCUGAAUAUUGAUAUUUUACCA
Papaver somniferum (opium poppy) is the source of this 633-nucleotide long non-coding RNA. RefSeq lists it as uncharacterized. The transcript has 4 exons. Lineage: Eukaryota; Viridiplantae; Streptophyta; Magnoliopsida; Ranunculales; Papaveraceae. The record is from RefSeq and is a predicted model, not a curated record.